Molecule: microRNA, 24 nt
Filed under: Sarcophilus harrisii (Tasmanian devil)
Lineage: Eukaryota; Metazoa; Chordata; Mammalia; Dasyuromorphia; Dasyuridae
Also listed under: 2 other names
Description: Sha-Mir-1547_5p (mature (guide))
Source: RNAcentral
UAUCAGAGUCUUGGGUCCUUGUGU